ACUAUUAAUUCUAUGAAUUCAUUAUAUGUAAACUAUUAAAUCCAAAACUAACAGUAAUUAAAAUUGUAAAUUAAAAUUAUUAAAACAGAAAUUCAUAUAACAAUUGAAUAAAAUCUGUGCCAGCAUUCGCGGUUAAACAGUUAAUAAAAUUUAAUAACUUUGGUAAACAACUAGAUUCCUAACAAAUAAAGUUUAAGUGAAAUUUUACAUUAUAAAAAUAAUCAUAUGAAAAAUAUGUGAUAUAUGAAAAAAAAACUAGGAUUAGAUACCCUACUAUUUCAUAUUUAAAAACAAAUACCGAAAAGUAUUAGAUAAAUACUUUAAAACUCAAAGAAUUUGGCGGUAAUUUAUCUAAUUAGAGGAACCUGUAAAAUAAUUGAUAAACCACAAUAAACCAUACCCUAAUUCUAUAAUUUGUAUAUCUCUAUAAAGGAUGUUUUAAAAGAAAAUUUCCGUUUUUUUAAAAAAACUAUUUUAGGUCAAGGUGCAGUUUUAUUAGGGGUCUUCAUGGGUUACUUUAAAAAUUUAAAAAAUUAGAAAUCUAAUAAAAAAUUAGAAAAAAAAAGGAUUUAAAAGUAAUUUUAGUUAAUUAACCAAAAUGAAAAAGAAAUAAAUUAUGUACAUAUUGCCCGUCACUCUCAAUAAAAUGAGACAAGUCGUAACAAAGUAGCUUUACUGGAAAGUAAAGCUAGAAAGCUUGUAACC
Molecule: ribosomal RNA, 705 nt
Filed under: Tituria sagittata
Lineage: Eukaryota; Metazoa; Arthropoda; Insecta; Hemiptera; Cicadellidae
Description: 12S ribosomal RNA
Source: RNAcentral